Molecule: ribosomal RNA, 253 nt
Filed under: uncultured bacterium
Lineage: Bacteria
Description: partial 16S ribosomal RNA
Rfam family: Bacterial small subunit ribosomal RNA
Source: RNAcentral
CACGUAGGGCGCAAGCGUUGUCCGGAAUUAUUGGGCGUAAAGAGCUCGUAGGUGGUUUGUUACGUCUGCUGUGAAAACCUAGGGCUUAACCCUGGGCUUGCAGUGGAUACGGGCAGACUAGAGGUAGGUAGGGGAGAAUGGAAUUCCUGGUGUAGCGGUGGAAUGCGCAGAUAUCAGGAGGAACACCGGUGGCGAAGGCGGUUCUCUGGGCCUUACCUGACACUGAGGAGCGAAAGCGUGGGGAGCGAACAGG